AAAACAUCUCCUUUUGAGAUAUUUUUUUUUGAAAUAUUAGAUUAUUUUUUAAAAGGAGAGAUAUUUUAUUUUUUCUCCUUUCUCCAACUUUUUCUCCUUUUCCCAGCCUUCCUCUCCUUUCUCCUACCCCCUUUCUCCUUUUUCCCAUCCCCUUUCUCCUACCCCCUUUCUCCCUGUCUCCCUUACCCCUGCAGGGCCGUAACUAGCCUCUUUUAAUAGUGACAGAGGCAAAACAUAUUCGCCGAGCGUAGCGAGGAGAAAAAUUUUUGUCGAGGGGUCUUGAGGCCGCUCAAGGCCCCCAGAAGCUCUGAGAAAAAUAACGCAAUAUCAUGCAUUCUGAGCGUUUCACGGACUCUUUCUUACAUUGAAACGCAAAUAAUCUUGAGCUAUUUUUUCGACAACAUUCUAGUCUCAAAGCAAAAACAUAGAUUUAUUGUAAUUUAGACUUUUAGGUUUUAGGGGCAACAUUAAAAGGUAUGUAGGAUAAAGUGAAAAUCGUAUUUCUCAUAAUCAUUAAUACCGGGUCUGUCUGUCUGCUCUUGUCUUGUAUUGUGCUGACUUUGGUGAUUUUUUUAUGACUAUAUUUAAAUAUAGUGACAGUGCAGUAUUAUACUUUAAGUACUAGUACUGCUUAAGUCGACACUAGGGACCAUCUUGACCUUCUUUUACGGUAUUAAUGAUUAUUGAAGUCCAAGACCCUCCAGCAACUAUCAAGAUGAAGAACAGGAAUAAAAACUUUGACCAUUGAUCAUUUGUAUUGUUUCUAUGUAUGCGAUUAGGUCCCGUGCACGUUUACUCCAUAUUCCUUUAUUUUCUGUCUAAACACGACUUAAUGCAAGUUUAACCAUUCAAUGUAAAAGGUUAUAUGGCAAUACAUUGUUUUUUUAAAUGAUUUGAUACCGGGAAAUUGGUGGUCUUUCUUUAAUUUAAACCAUGUCAGCUAUGUAGUUUUAUCCACAGGAGCUUGGG
Molecule: long non-coding RNA, 969 nt
Filed under: Mytilus galloprovincialis (Mediterranean mussel)
Lineage: Eukaryota; Metazoa; Mollusca; Bivalvia; Mytilida; Mytilidae
Source: RNAcentral